GAUGAACGCUGGCGGCGUGCCUAAUACAUGCAAGUCGAGCGAACAGACGAGGAGCUUGCUCCUUCGACGUUAGCGGCGGACGGGUGAGUAACACGUAGGUAACCUACCUAUAAGACUGGGAUAACUUCGGGAAACCGGAGCUAAUACCGGAUAAUAUUUCGAACCGCAUUGUUCGAUAGUGAAAGAUGGCUUUUCUAUCACUUAUAGAUGGACCUGCGCCGUAUUAGCUAGUUGGUAAGGUAACGGCUUACCAAGGCAACGAUACGUAGCCGACCUGAGAGGGUGAUUGGACACACUGGAACUGAGACACGGUCCAGACUCCUACGGGAGGACGCAGUAGAGAAUCUUCCGCAAUGGGCGAAAGCCUGACGGAGCAACGCCGCGUGAGUGAUGAAGGUCUUCGGAUCGUAAAACUCUGUUAUUAGGGAAGAACAAACGUGUAAGUACCUGUGCACGUCUUGACGGUACCUAAUCAGAAAGCCACGGCUAACUACGUG
This 497-nucleotide ribosomal RNA is filed under the name uncultured bacterium. RNAcentral describes it as "partial 16S ribosomal RNA". It matches the Rfam family "Bacterial small subunit ribosomal RNA", at positions 28 to 507 of the family's 1533-position model. The record is from RNAcentral.